UACGUAGGGUGCGAGCGUUAAUCGGAUUUACUGGGCGUAAAGCGUGCGCAGGCGGCCCGUUAAGACAGGUGUGAAAUCCCCGGGCUCAACCUGGGAAUGGCAUUUUGAACUGGCAGGCUCGAGUUCUGAAGAGGGUGGUAGAAUUUCCAGUGUAGCAGUGAAAUGCGUAGAGAUCAGGAGGAACACCGAUGGCGAAGGCAGCCCCCUGGGCCUGUACUGACGCUCAUGCACGAAAGCGUGGGGAGCAAACAGG
RNAcentral lists this ribosomal RNA (253 nucleotides) under uncultured microorganism. RNAcentral's name for it is "partial 16S ribosomal RNA". It matches the Rfam family "Bacterial small subunit ribosomal RNA", at positions 524 to 776 of the family's 1533-position model. The record is from RNAcentral.